RNAcentral lists this ribosomal RNA (253 nucleotides) under uncultured bacterium. RNAcentral describes it as "partial 16S ribosomal RNA". It matches the Rfam family "Bacterial small subunit ribosomal RNA", at positions 524 to 776 of the family's 1533-position model. The record is from RNAcentral.
UACAGAGGGUGCAAGCGUUAAUCGGAAUUACUGGGCGUAAAGCGCACGUAGGCGGUUUUUUAAGUCAGAUGUGAAAGCCCCGGGCUCAACCUGGGAAUUGCAUUUGAAACUGGGAAACUAGAGUGUGUGAGAGGGGGGUAGAAUUCCAAGUGUAGCGGUGAAAUGCGUAGAGAUUUGGAGGAAUACCAGUGGCGAAGGCGGCCCCCUGGCACAACACUGACGCUCAGGUGCGAAAGCAUGGGGAGCAAACAGG